Molecule: ribosomal RNA, 811 nt
Filed under: uncultured bacterium
Lineage: Bacteria
Description: bacterial SSU rRNA
Rfam family: Bacterial small subunit ribosomal RNA
Source: RNAcentral
GCGUCUCCGUUAAUGAUUUUAAGUGCUUGCACUUGAAAGAUUUAACAUUGAGACGAGUGGCGAACUGGUGAGUAACACGUGGGUAACCUGCCCUUGAAGUAGGGGAUAACACUUGGAAACAGGUGCUAAUACCGUAUAACAACCAAAACCACCUGGUUUUGGUUUAAAAGACGGCUUCGGCUGUCACUUUAGGAUGGACCCGCGGCGUAUUAGCUUGUUGGUAAGGUAACGGCCUACCAAGGCGAUGAUACGUAGCCGACCUGAGAGGGUAAUCGGCCACAUUGGGACUGAGACACGGCCCAAACUCCUACGGGAGGCAGCAGUAGGGAAUCUUCCACAAUGGACGAAAGUCUGAUGGAGCAACGCCGCGUGAGUGAUGAAGGGUUUCGGCUCGUAAAACUCUGUUGUUGGAGAAGAACAGGUGUCAGAGCAACUGUUGACACCUUGACGGUAUCCAACCAGAAAGCCACGGCUAACUACGUGCCAGCAGCCGCGGUAAUACGUAGGUGGCAAGCGUUGUCCGGAUUUAUUGGGCGUAAAGCGAGCGCAGGCGGUUUUUUAGGUCUGAUGUGAAAGCCUUCGGCUUAACCGGAGAAGUGCAUCGGAAACCGGGAGGCUUGAGUGCAGAAGAGGACAGUGGAACUCCAUGUGUAGCGGUGAAAUGCGUAGAUAUAUGGAAGAACACCAGUGGCGAAGGCGGCUGUCUGGUCUGUAACUGACGCUGAGGCUCGAAAGCAUGGGUAGCGAACAGGAUUAGAUACCCUGGUAGUCCAUGCCGUAUACGAUGAGUGCUAAGUGUUGGAGGGUUUCC